Molecule: long non-coding RNA, 6505 nt
Filed under: Setaria viridis
Lineage: Eukaryota; Viridiplantae; Streptophyta; Magnoliopsida; Poales; Poaceae
Description: long non-coding RNA (SVIR_LNC000998)
Source: RNAcentral
CGCCAAGGUUCAUCGUGCCCACCAAACCCACUUGACAAAUCCUGGACCGAUCAUCCUAGCACUGAAGCAGCGGGAAGCUCCGCCGCCGCCUACACUCACCAUCAACACCGCUGUCACCGCCAUGACGAGCUCCUCCUCCAAGCCCGAUGGUCGGUAUCUCUCCCUCUGCCUCUCGGUUUUCUUAAUUAGCUAGAGGUCAUGUUGAUUUUAGCCUAUAGAUGAACCCCAAUUGAUCACUGGUUAAGUUUUUGAGUCAAUGCUAAGCUAAUUAGUUCUAUCACGAGGUUGUAUUUCCUCAAGACAUGAAAGAACAUGAUGUCAUGAAAGAAUAUACAUCCUCAAACAGAACGAAUAUUGCAUGGAUGUAACUCACAUUCUCAGAUCUAGUGUCGCUCAAUUUGAUUGGGGAGGUGGUGACUACACUUUCGGGCUGCGGGCAACCCUGCUGCCCCCAUUGGACUCGUCGCUCCAGAAUGCAAACCAUUACUGGUGAUACAGUGACCUUGUUUCGGUGUGAGCUUUUUUUGAGCCCUUAUGAACAGGUAGUUGAGGGAACCAAAGGACAUAUAGCAUAUAUGGAUCGCUCCAUAAUACUUGUAUUUUGGGUACCAGAUGGGUGCCUGCGGGUAAGUUUGUAUACCCGCACACUACCUGCGGGUGAGAAUUCAUACCCAUACUCUCACCCGCGAGUAAGAAUUGGUAUCCAUACCUACCCUCGCUCGUGGUUCCGGUGGCGUUGUGUCCGGCCAAAUACAUUCCGUUGAGCGACCACCCUGCGCGAGACGACACUGCACCAGCGGACGCGGCGGCCUCAUCAUUCAUGUGUGCAAUGAUCGUUGCACCUCGUUCCCUUGCCGCCGGGAUGCUCGUGAAGGACCGUGUCGCGAGCUACCACCGACCACUACUAGACAUUAGUCGUGGGGUGUGUUCACGUGAGUAUACGCUUGCGGCCUUGCCGGCUGUGGCUGAUGUAGUCGCUCAGUGUUUCGUCCGGUACACCGUACACGUCGCUUGUUUCGUCUGGGCAACGGUUUCUCAUAUGCUGGAGAUGCUGCCAUGCUGGCAUAGGCGAGCUAGCUUCUGAUCUCUGUGCAGUAGAUGUUCUGUGUGCGCGAUUCUCUUAUUGCAAGUGGUGCAAAAAUAACUAGCCAUAAACAUUCAACAAGAUGCAAGCUGUAUCCGGCAUUCCAGGGUGGAGAAUGGCCCUUGUACAGUGGUACUUUUGUACAACCACUGAUUUCACAGUUCGGGACGCACGUCCUAUACUCCAAGUGCCUAAUUUUUUCCUUGCCUUAGUCGCUAGCAUGUUAGCGACAGCGGCUCUCCGGUGGAACUUGCACGGGGCGUGGUGGACCAACCUGGCUGUGAGGGCAUCAGGGCAGGGCAAUGGCAACGGAGCGCGGCCAAAGGAGAACUUUCGGAUAGGAAGCUUGGGGCAGGAGCCACAGUGAUUGCUACUGACGCUUCACGCUCGUAUGCAUAAUGCUCGUAGGGUUAGGAAGGCCUGUUGCCGUGUUGUACUACCGGGAACACAUAAGAAUUUUCGGACUGCCCACGCCGCAGCCUCCUCUUUGAUUUUUGCCAAAAGACCUAUCUUCUUUGGCUGGAGCAAAAAGACCUAGUGAUUAUAGCGUGAGAAAAACUUCUUUAUGUGCACUCUCUUUUCCAAUUAGCUAGACUCUACUCUACCUUCUUUAUAAAUGAAAUAGGUACAAUCUCAUACCUAUUUAUUUAAAAAAAAGAAUUAUGAGACUGCAUACUGUGCUAGUGCAUCGCCCGUUUCAUGAACCUAUGAAAAAAUCAUGCUGGUUAUAUAAAACUGUUACACAAUUUCCCGAAAGGAAUUUCGAUAAACAUAGAUCUAUAUAUUUGAACUUGAAUUUUUAGAUCAUACUAGAACUUCUUCAAUAUAUAGAUCCAUAUACAAGCAAACGAGCCUCUAGCUGAGUUGGUUAUAGCAUCUUCAGCAGAUUCCUUUUCUACUUUCCCCUUUUCUCUUUUAAGCCAAAAAAGGGGUUAGGGGGAGAAAAACUAGCUCCAGCCGACCCUCUUUCCAUUCCCCAUUCCUCUUUAUUUUUUUCUCAAUCCCCUUUAUUACUCCCCGUCUCCCCUUUACAAAAGUUAAUUCACCCCUCUCCCUUUCCUUCUCCCUUUCCUCCCUUCCUCUCAUGCCACACGAUCCGCAAGCCACAGGAUUCCCUGGCUGCCCGAUCUGCCUCGCCGGCCACCUUGGCAUUCACGCCACCACCAACUAUCCUAUGCGCGUCGCUGACCUAGCAACGCCAUCUGCAAGCUCCACGUGUGCAGUUGGCCUGGUAGCGCUAUCCAUCGCCGGCCGCCCUCUGCCUCGCAACGCCGUCCCGACCAUGCACGGUGGUCGCGCCACCGGAGGCCGCCGCCCGCCCCUACCCAGCAUGGGCUCGCACGCCAAUGUCGGCUUCCUUCUGCCCACACCAUCGCUGCUCCACCCCCGCUGCCACCGUGUGGGCUCGCCCCGCCAUCGUUGCUCCACCCCCGCCACCGCUCUGCCUUGUCACUUCCAGCCCGCAGGCCAUCAUCAUCGUCCUUUGCCCAGAGGCAUCCAAGCCCGCCGCCUAGGGUGGAGCGGGAAAAAAUCAUUAACCCACUGACAAGUAGGCCCCAUGCGUAAGAAAGAUUGAAAGAGGAUCUACUAAAGCAAUUCUCCCCAAAAUCCUAAAACUAUGAAAGGGGAAUCCCGACCCUACAGGGGAAUAAAGGGGAAAAUGGGAAAUCAAUCUGCUGAAGAUGAUCUUAGGUGGUUCUAGUUGCACUCCUCAUGUCUUGGGUUUGACUCCCCGUAGGAGCGAAUCCAGGCUGGAGUUAACAAAACCCCCUCAGAGUUUUCUAGCUCAAUAGGCUUGAGAAGGUCUUCUCUUAGCAAAAUGCCUAGAGCUAUCUUAACAACACCCCCCCUAGUCGAGUUUUAAGCGAACGGGUCUCUAUAGCUGAGUUGGUUAGGUGGUUCUAGUAGGACUCUUUAGGUCCCGUGUUUGACUACCCAUUGGAGCGAAUUUAUGGCUAGCGUUUAAAAAAAAUCAGUCUAUCCCAUAACAACUAUGGUGCCGCUGUGUAAGAGUGGGGGCGUGGGUAAGGCUUCGGAGGUUUUAAAGAUGGGGCUGGGGUUUGGAGGUUUUCUUGACGUGCGUGAGAAUGUAUUCGCUUAGCAAAUUGUCUGGGGGCUAUCUCACCUUUGCAAAUUGAGUGUUUUUUUAUAGAUCGAUACAAUUCAAGUCAUCUGACAGUGGGUUCAAUAGCUAGCAAAGUUUUUUUUUUGGAAAUAGAAAUAGCUACCAAAGUUUGUGCUCACAAAGAAAGACAUGGUUAGCACUAAUGAACACUAGAAUCACUAGGUUAGCUCUAAUAAAAAUAGAAUCACUUGGUAGUUGAUUUCUCAAAGUAACAACCUACAAGGACAUCUAUGUUCUCAGCCAGCCAGCCUGAUUCUUGAAUCCACUAACGAUUCCGAGCGAUUCCGAGCUCCCUGUCUCCCUGGCAGACCGCCACUGCCUGGCACACACGGUACCACCGUUCGGUGAAGCAUUAGUUGUCUCCGUUUCAGCCAUUCUCGAGACCAUCCAAACAGUUAGGUCAGGCAUAAGAGGACAUCAUUGUAACACCCAAAUUUUAGAGAAUUCAAAUUUAUUAAAACUUGCUCAAAUUAGGAUGUCAUUUAGAUUCUAGGCAUUUAAUUUCAUUUUCUUUAAUUUAAUUAAUUCAUCAUAGGGUUAUUUGUGCAUUCAUGCUGGAGCAUAAUUUUUGAUUGUUGGAGUUUGAACCAAAAAUUUGAAUUUCAAGUUUAAAUUCAAUUUCCAAAACCAUUUCCUUUUCCUCUUUCUUUUUGUUUUUCUUCUUCUCCUCCUGGGCCGCAUCUCUCCUUCUUUUCCCUUCUUCUUCUUCUUUCGGCCCAGCCGAGCUGCAGCCCCUCCGGCCGCCCCACCCUUUGCCGGCCCAGCUCCCGACACCCCUGCGGCCUGCCACUCGCCUCUUCUCCGCGGCCCGCGAACCGCGCGCGGCCCAGCCGCAGCAGCUCCGCCGGCCCCCUCCUCUUUUCUUCUUGCCGGCCCAGCUUCCCCACCCGAGCGGCCCACCGCUCCGCCUCUGGCCGGCCUGCGAAGUCCGCCGCUCGCUCGUCGCCCCGCGGCCCGCGAAUGCGCGCGCCGGCCCAACAGCAUCGCCAGCCCGCCUACCGCCCGUCGUCGCCUACCUCCGGCCGUAUCCGGCCGGGACUCCCCGCAACCACCGCGCCGCCAUCUCCGGAAUCCCGUCGGCCCCCGCUCCGAAUCCGCCGCGAUUCAAACCCGGGGCCGCUCUAUCUCCAAGCGCGCCGCCCCUAUAUAAGUCACCGCCCCCUCCCCGGCCUCGAGCACCCCGCGCCUACGCCCGAAACCCUAGCGCCCCAAAGCUCCAGUGCCGCCGCUUCUUCCCCGCCAUCAAGCGCCGCCUCCGGUGAGCUCCGGUCGCCGAGGACCCCCAAAACAAGUUCGCCGUGUUCCCCUCUUUCUUUUGGUGCAAUCUGCGCGCCAAACCAUGCCCCGGAGCGCCUUUUCGGCCAACUCCGGCGACCCGCCGCCGCUCGCUGUCGCGCGCCGCCGCUCGCCGCCGCCGCGAGUCAUCGAUGACCACGACCGUCAGAUCUUGAUCCGAUGGCCAAUAGUGAGUCAAACAAGACCGCGUAACGGUCAACCGAGCCGCGCCGUGCCGCUUUUGCUCUUAAGCCCCCGCCUUUUUCACGAAUCAACCCGCGGUCCAGAUCGCGUUGAAAAUAAUUCCAGAUCUGCCCUCGCACUUUUCGGUUUAACCCUUGAACUUUUCAAGAAUCAACCUGCCGUCCGGAAUUUGAGUUUUUGCGUGUUAGACCUUCGGUUUAUAGCGUAAUUACGUAUAAGCCCUCGGUUUUUGCGGUUUGGCCCUAAAAGUUUUGUUUUUCUCACAGAAAAGCCCCUGGAUCUUGUUUUAAUCAUAUCUUUUGCAUCUUAACUCCGUUUUUCGCGUUCUUUAUAUCCACGUGUUUGUUUUAAAGCGUAGAUCAACUGUUCAAGCUUGUUUUCUCUGUUUAACUAUGAUUGGUGUACUGUUUUCCUACUGUUUGCCCAUGUUUGCUUGUAUGUGCCCGUGUGACGCGUGUAGACGUCCUGCAGUUCGAGGGAGUUGAAGACCAAGCCUUCGAGGAGUACGAACAACAGGAGCAAGGCCAAGAAGGCAAGUCGUGUCCUUGAUCACUACCUUUUCGUCCUAUACACCUUUACUUUCUCGUACUCAACAUUUAUGCUAUGCACAUGUUAAGAUUAAAUUGAUGGGUCCCAAUUAAGGUUCGCCUAGAUUGAAUUACCUUUGCCUUGACCAACCGGUUUACUUUAUGUUGGGUAGCUCAUGCUUAGUGCUUACUUGGUAUGGUGGUUUAACUAAACACAAUGCUUAAUCUUGCUUUACUUCCGUCAUACCUUUCAUUAAUACAAGAUCAUGUAUGAUUAAUCGGAACAUGGAGCGACCACCCAGGAAAACAGUGCUACCACAAGACUAAAUGGCUCUGGUCUUGGCUGAAUAAUUAGAAACUCUAGUUUGGGGUAAUCUUACCGAAAGGGCAAGAGGGGAGGCGUUGAUGGGAUAUAGCACUCGCUCUCUUGGGAAGUGGGCUUGGCUAAGACACUAUACCCUCUAGGGGACUGAUAUGUUUCGCUUCGACCUAAAACCUUAGCAGGUUACCACAUUGCUAGCGAAUCUUUGUAAAGGCCUCGUAGCGUCCCUAUGCAAUCACACCUCGGAAGUGUGGUAUGGUGCCUUGAAAACACCGCAUGGUUGGGUCCAAAGUUCUAUUGAACUUUUACGCGACUUAUGGGUAAAGAUGUGCCACCUCUGCAAAGUGUAAAACUGAUCGAUCAGCCGUGCUCACGGUUAAGAGCGGCCUGGACCCUCACAUGAUAAUAAUAUCGGAAGAUGGAUUUAACUUGGUGUCAUUUCAUGCAUAUGUUGUUUACUUUAUUUAUGAUCAUGUUUAAUUUCGGGUGGUAUGAACUUAUACUUAGUUAAUUGCUAAUAAAACUUGACCAACUUAAUUAAAAGCGAAUGCUAAUUAUGCCUUAGCCAUGCCUUGAUUUGCCUUACACUACACUAUUCCCCACGACUUGUUGAGUACCAACCAUAAGUGUACUCACCCUUGCAAAACUGCUGUUCAGACCAAGCUAAUUGGGAAGAGGAGUAUCUACACGACUUUAAGGAGUUCUAGGCGUACGUUUCUUCAGUCAGCUGCCUGUGGAGUCGUCGUCGUCGUCUUUGGAGUUCCGCUGCGUAAUAAAUUAGGCUUAUGUUUUAUUGAGACUUUCGGUCAUGUAAUAAUGUUUAAUACUCUCUCUGUUCGCUUUAGCACUGUCUUUGUUAUUCACUAUUGUCGUACAUAUGUGUAACUUGAUCCUGGCGCACAUGUAUUUAAUGCACUCGAUUUUAUCCUUAAAAUCGGGUGUGACAAUCAUGCAAACACCUUCCUGGA